CAGUCGCCGCGGUAAUACGGAGGGUGCAAGCGUUAAUCGGAAUUACUGGGCGUAAAGCGUGCGUAGGUGGUGGUUUAAGUCCGUUGUGAAAGCCCUGGGCUCAACCUGGGAAUUGCAGUGGAUACUGGGUCACUAGAGUGUGGUAGAGGAUAGUGGAAUUUCCGGUGUAGCAGUGAAAUGCGUAGAGAUCGGAAGGAACAUCUGUGGCGAAGGCGACUAUCUGGGCCAACACUGACACUGAGGCACGAAAGCGUGGGGAGCAAACAGGAUUAGAUACCCCUGUAGUCCCUGUCUCUUAUAC
RNAcentral lists this ribosomal RNA (301 nucleotides) under uncultured bacterium. RNAcentral's name for it is "partial 16S ribosomal RNA". It matches the Rfam family "Bacterial small subunit ribosomal RNA", at positions 509 to 807 of the family's 1533-position model. The record is from RNAcentral.